GCCGACUUGGCGCAAUUGGUAGCGCACCUAACUUGUAAUUAGGGGGUUACGGGUUCGAGUCCCGUAGUCGGCU
This 73-nucleotide transfer RNA is filed under the name Microbacterium sp. Its description in RNAcentral is "tRNA-Thr". It matches the Rfam family "tRNA". Rfam says of the family: Transfer RNA (tRNA) molecules are approximately 80 nucleotides in length. Their secondary structure includes four short double-helical elements and three loops (D, anti-codon, and T loops). Further hydrogen bonds mediate the characteristic L-shaped molecular structure. tRNAs have two regions of fundamental functional importance: the anti-codon, which is responsible for specific mRNA codon recognition, and the 3' end, to which the tRNAs corresponding amino acid is attached (by aminoacyl-tRNA synthetases). tRNAs cope with the degeneracy of the genetic code in two manners: having more than one tRNA (with a specific anti-codon) for a particular amino acid; and 'wobble' base-pairing, i.e. permitting non-standard base-pairing at the 3rd anti-codon position. The record is from RNAcentral. Lineage: Bacteria; Bacillati; Actinomycetota; Actinomycetes; Micrococcales; Microbacteriaceae. RNAcentral also lists the same sequence under 1 other name.